CACUGGCCACAAUCAAUCUAUUGCCUUCUUUCCUCAUCUUCAUCUCUCUAUCCCCCUCUCCCAUCUGCUCCACUUCUUUUCCUUCUUCCGCUACAUAUCCAUGUUUCCCAUCCUUGUUCCUCACUCUAUUUGGGUGAGCAAUUCUUGGAUCACAAAGAAGGAUUGCUUCAAGCCUUGUUAUCUUCUUGGGCUUCUAAUUGAGGUGACAUUAGAUUGGGUGGGUGCUGCACAUUAGAGUUAUGAGUCUGUCUUACAUGUUUUCUUCAUCUUGGAAAUGAAUUCUUAUUUGCAUGUAUAUUAUAUCCUAAUGAAUACAAUGAUUAUGACUCUUAUUGAAUUUAAGUGUUUAUGAGUUGUUUCGAUUUGGUUUAUUAUAAUGUAAUGAUCACUACAAACUAGGAAUUGUAUUUUGGAAACCAAGAAUGUAACCUUGUGAUUCACAGAAAAUAGAUGCGGUCUUAAUAUGAAUGAGAACUGCGUAUGGUAGGUUGGUCAAUAGAUUUGGACUAGCAACAUGGAUUUUUUUUGCCUUGUUAUAGGCUGGAAACCUGACCCUACUAUAGCACAUCAUAGGUCGAAAAAGUGAUCCUAUUGUUGCUUUGUUAUAGGUUGGAAAUAUUGUAUCACUGGUGCCCCAUUACGGGUAGAAAAUAUGGCAUCAUAAUUUUUCAUCACAGAUUGGAAAUAUGACACCAGCAUAUAUCUUGUCACGUAUUGGAAACGUUUUGAAAAAUUUUGGUCAGCGAUAACUGCUUGUUAAUCUUUACCAAAACAAUAUAUUAUAGUCAAGUCAAGCAAGGGACCUAGCAAUAGUGAUCAAACUACUAUUGAUAAGAACAUUGUUCAAUCACCGAGCAACAUGUUGUCUGAUCAAUCAUUCGAUAUGAAUUGAUCUAUCCGAACAUGUCUCCUGCAGAAAUAAGUGAUCAAUGAAAACAACCCUUAAGGUAUAUGAUCUUGGGAUGGUAAUAAGAUAAUACCUCAUGAUUAAUUUCAGUUGCAGCAGAGAUUCCACGUUCAAACUGCUAUCGAUUGCUAAAUUUUUUUAUUUUUUGAUGGAAGAUUCAUAUUGGAUUUUGAAGCAAAAUUAAGUGAUUCAGAUGGAUAUAUUGGGUGCUAAAUGCACACUAAUACCACUACAGCUCAGAGUUGAUUCAGAGAUUUUUCUUACUUUCAGCGGCAUUUUUCUGUACUGGUAAAUAUCUUUUUUCUUAUAGUGAUGGAUGACUAAUAUGUUCCCAUGUAACGCUCUGUAGGUUCCGGAGCAGCAAAAUAAACUAAUGUUGAUGGUCAUUGAAUUCAAAAUAACACACUUGAUAAGGACGCAGCAAUAUUGGACCACUGGUACUGCUGCAGUCCCCAUCUCAGGCUUCAAAGAUAAGUAAUGGGAAUGCCAAGACUUGGAAGUAAACUCUCCAUUUCAAAGUCAACAUGGCUAAUUUCUUUGGGGUGUCUCUUCCCCACCAAGUCUUUUGAUUCUCUCUUAAGGGAGAAGUGCUUCCCUAUCACCUUGUUUUCAGAAGAUACUAUUACCCAAAGGCCAAGUGCGCCUGCCAGGGAACAAGAAACAAGACAAACCAAAUUAUAAAAAUAAUGCAAAGCUACCACCAAGCUUGGUUGGGAUGAUAUAAUCUCAUUAUUAAAAUAAUGCACAUCUACCACCACCAACGACCUUGGUUGGGAUGAUAUAACCAAUUGUCCCUCUAGGCAAGGGUAGGUUUUCAAUACCCAAAAAAAUAAAAAGAAGAA
This 1749-nucleotide long non-coding RNA is filed under the name Phoenix dactylifera (date palm). RNAcentral describes it as "long non-coding RNA (PDAC_LNC005819)". The record is from RNAcentral. Lineage: Eukaryota; Viridiplantae; Streptophyta; Magnoliopsida; Arecales; Arecaceae.